ACGAACGCUGGCGGCAGGCUUAACACAUGCAAGUCGAGCGCCCCGCAAGGGGAGCGGCAGACGGGUGAGUAACGCGUGGGAACGUACCUUUUGGUUCGGAACAACUCCGGGAAACUGGAGCUAACACCGGAUAAGCCCUAACGGGGAAAGAUUUAUCGCCGAAAGAUCGGCCCGCGUCUGAUUAGCUAGUUGGUGAGGUAACGGCUCACCAAGGCGACGAUCAGUAGCUGGUCUGAGAGGAUGAUCAGCCACACUGGGACUGAGACACGGCCCAGACUCCUACGGGAGGCAGCAGUGGGGAAUAUUGGACAAUGGGCGCAAGCCUGAUCCAGCCAUGCCGCGUGAGUGAUGAAGGCCUUAGGGUUGUAAAGCUCUUUUGUCCGGGAAGAUAAUGACUGUACCGGAAGAAUAAGCCCCGGCUAACUUCGUG
Molecule: ribosomal RNA, 430 nt
Filed under: uncultured bacterium
Lineage: Bacteria
Description: partial 16S ribosomal RNA
Rfam family: Bacterial small subunit ribosomal RNA
Source: RNAcentral